RNAcentral lists this ribosomal RNA (432 nucleotides) under Triticum aestivum (bread wheat). RNAcentral's name for it is "partial small subunit ribosomal RNA". Lineage: Eukaryota; Viridiplantae; Streptophyta; Magnoliopsida; Poales; Poaceae. The record is from RNAcentral.
AUGCAGCCUGUUACUCGAUGCACCUCCAUUUGUCAAUUACUAGUUAGAUUGCCCUCUGAUGCACCUCUUGCUCAUUUUGCAGGAAUUUCUCAAUGUCUUCUUCAUCGAGGUAUUCAUUGUCAUCUUGUUCAUGCGAGUGCUCUGAUUCUGGUAUUUCUGUUUCUUCAUUGUUCUGGCAACUGUUGUUUUCUCUUGUUGCUGCUGAACUGGGGUCAUCAUCUUCAUCCACCUGCAUUCAUAGCAAUUUGCUUCAGUACUUUAUUUCUUACUAGUUUUCAACUUCUAUGUAUGUAUCUUGUUACUGAAUUUUGGUCUUUUACCUGUUCCAAAUUCAUGGUGCCAAAAAGGUCUGCAUGCCAGGGGUUUUCUUCUGUUGCACCUUCUUCGGUUGGUGUAGUUUCAGUUUCAUUUCGUCGAAUGUCUGCAGAAUAG